GGGCCCGCACAAGCGGUGGAGCAUGUGGUUUAAUUCGAUGCAACGCGAAGAACCUUACCAGGGUUUGACAUAGUACGAAGUUUUGAAAAAAUCAAACCUCGGACGUACAUACAGGUGGUGCAUGGCUGUCGUCAGCUCGUGUCGUGAGAUGUUGGGUUAAGUCCCGCAACGAGCGUAACCCUUGUUUUUAGUUGCCUUUCGAGGAUAUUUAGAAAGACUGCCGAUUAUAAAUCGGAGGAAGGUAAGGACGACGUCAAGUCAUCAUGCCCCUUACACUCUGGGCUACACACGUGCUACAUUGGGUAGAACAAUAAGUUGCUAAGUUGCGAAACCAAGCG
This 338-nucleotide ribosomal RNA is filed under the name uncultured bacterium. RNAcentral's name for it is "bacterial SSU rRNA". It matches the Rfam family "Bacterial small subunit ribosomal RNA", at positions 917 to 1269 of the family's 1533-position model. The record is from RNAcentral.